CCUACGCGGGGCAGCAGUGGGGAAUAUUGCACAAUGGGGGAAACCCUGAUGCAGCGACGCCGCGUGAGUGAAGAAGUAUUUAGGUAUGUAAAGCGCUAUCAGCAGGGAAGAAGAAAGACGGGACCUGACUAAGAAGCCCCGGCUAACUACGUGCCAGCAGCAGCGGUAAAAGGUAGGGGGCAAGCUUUAUACGGAUUUACUGGGUGUAAAGGGAGCGUAGACGGAGAAGCGAGUCUGAAGUGAAAGCCCGUGGCUUAACCACGGGACUGCUUUGGAAACUGUUUGACUAGAGGGCUGGAGAGGUAAGUGGAAUUCCUAGUGUAGCGGUGAAAUGCGUAGAUAUUAGGAGGAACACCAGUGGCGAAGGCGGCUUACUGGACAGUAACUGACGUUGAGGCUCGAAAGCGUGGGGAGCAAACAGGAUUAGAUACCCUAGUAGUC
This 441-nucleotide ribosomal RNA is filed under the name uncultured bacterium. RNAcentral describes it as "partial 16S ribosomal RNA". It matches the Rfam family "Bacterial small subunit ribosomal RNA", at positions 338 to 795 of the family's 1533-position model. The record is from RNAcentral.